Molecule: long non-coding RNA, 165 nt
Organism: Octopus sinensis (East Asian common octopus)
Lineage: Eukaryota; Metazoa; Mollusca; Cephalopoda; Octopoda; Octopodidae
Exons: 2
Source: RefSeq, a predicted model, not a curated record
CGGUAUUUCGUCUGCCGUUACGUUCUGAGUUCAAAUUCCGCCGAGGUCGACUUUGCCUUUCAUCUUUUCGGGGUCUAUAAAUUAAGUACCAGUUGCGUACUGGAGUCGAUCUAAUCGACUGCCCCGACACCAAUAAAUUUCGGGCUUUGUCCUUAGAGUAGAAAA